UGAACGCUGGCGGUAGGCCUAACACAUGCAAGUCGAACGGCAGCACAGUAAGAGCUUGCUCUUACGGGUGGCGAGUGGCGGACGGGUGAGGCAUACAUCGGAAUCUACUUUUUCGUGGGGGAUACCGUAGGGAAACUUACGCUAAUACCGCAUACGACCUACGGGUGAAAGCAGGGGAUCUUCGGACCUUGCGCGAUUGAAUGAGCCGAUGUCGGAUUAGCUAGUUGGCGGGGGAAAGGCUCACCAAGGCGACGAUCCGUAGCUGGUCUGAGAGGAUGAUGGGCCACACUGGAACUGAGCCACGGUCCAGACUCCUACGGGAGGCAGCAGUGGGGAAUAUUGGACAAUGGGCGCAAGCCUGAUCCAGCCAUACCGCGUGGGUGAAGAAGGCCUUCGGGUUGUAAAGCCCUUUUGUUGGGAAAGAAAAUCAGCAGGUUAAUACCCCGCUGUUCUGACGGUACCCAAAGAAUAAGCACCGGCUAACUUCGUG
Molecule: ribosomal RNA, 490 nt
Filed under: uncultured bacterium
Lineage: Bacteria
Description: partial 16S ribosomal RNA
Rfam family: Bacterial small subunit ribosomal RNA
Source: RNAcentral